RNAcentral lists this long non-coding RNA (948 nucleotides) under Malus domestica (apple). Its description in RNAcentral is "long non-coding RNA (MDOM_LNC015378)". The record is from RNAcentral. Lineage: Eukaryota; Viridiplantae; Streptophyta; Magnoliopsida; Rosales; Rosaceae.
UAGCAUAUAUGAUGAGAUAUGUUAUGAGCUAGCAUAUAUGAUGAGAUAUGUUAUGAGCUAGCAUCAUAUGUCAUACAUGUCACUAGAGGUGACUUCGGACUUAUGAGCUAGCCUUGAUUGAUGAGAAAUUGAUAAGUCGUACAGGUCACGUGAGGUGACUUCGGCUAGUAUGUAAUGAGAUAUUGAUUCAACCGUACUUGAUAGGUGGAUCCGGCUAACAUGCCAUUUCACAUUGGUUUAUCUCACCUGGGUUACUUAUUCUUGUUGAGAUAUUUGACGUGGCAUAACUGUAAGACUAUUAUUUUGGUUAUAUUUUUCAUUUAUAGUCACGCCUGUUAUUUUCUGGGAAAUUAUACAGGUAUCACGACGAGGGGCUAUUAAUUUUGGUAGUUGGAAUUGGUUUGAAAAGUUUUGUUUCACUCACUCACAUUUUCUAUUUUUGUACCCCUCCAGGUUCUAGCAGCAAAUUUCCAUAUCGACGAGGAUUCAUGGCACUUUUCAGCACAUAUGUCUUUUUAUGAUGGUAUAAUCAUUAUCUCACCUUACCAUACUAUACCUAUGCUCUGUAUCACGCAUGAAAUGGGUCCAAAUCCGCUCACCGCGCACUCGUGUACCUAGGCACUCUUAGGUUUUAAUUUAUUCACAUUUUAUACAUUAUCACACUUUAUGGCUUCGUCACCUUCCAGGUGUCGGCCAGGACGGCCCGAUUCGGGGUCCUAGUGGACAUUUCGGGUCGGGGUGUGUCACUUAACAUUAUCCAAAGAAUGCUAGCGAGACAAUAUGUAUCAUGCCGAUGUUGCUUGCUAUGCAUGAAGCCACAUGUCUAUCUAACAAGUAUGUGGCUGAGACCCCAAGACCAGGGUCGGCCCUGAGGGGGUGCAAAGUGUGCGAUCGCAUAGGGCCUCGAUUUUUUGGGGUCCCCAAAUUCUAAAACCUCUAUAUAUAUAU